RNAcentral lists this ribosomal RNA (897 nucleotides) under Cladosporium sp. RNAcentral describes it as "partial large subunit ribosomal RNA". It matches the Rfam family "Eukaryotic large subunit ribosomal RNA", at positions 39 to 963 of the family's 3401-position model. Lineage: Eukaryota; Fungi; Ascomycota; Dothideomycetes; Cladosporiales; Cladosporiaceae. The record is from RNAcentral.
CAUAUCAUAAGCGGAGGAAAAGAAACCAACAGGGAUUGCUCUAGUAACGGCGAGUGAAGCAGCAAUAGCUCAAAUUUGAAAUCUGGCGUCUUCGACGUCCGAGUUGUAAUUUGUAGAGGAUGCUUCUGAGUGGCCACCGACCUAAGUUCCUUGGAACAGGACGUCAUAGAGGGUGAGAAUCCCGUAUGCGGUCGGAAAGGCGCUCUAUACGUAGCUCCUUCGACGAGUCGAGUUGUUUGGGAAUGCAGCUCUAAAUGGGAGGUAAAUUUCUUCUAAAGCUAAAUAUUGGCCAGAGACCGAUAGCGCACAAGUAGAGUGAUCGAAAGAUGAAAAGCACUUUGGAAAGAGAGUUAAAAAGCACGUGAAAUUGUUAAAAGGGAAGGGAUUGCAACCAGACUUGCUCGCGGUGUUCCGCCGGUCUUCUGACCGGUCUACUCGCCGCGUUGCAGGCCAGCAUCGUCUGGUGCCGCUGGAUAAGACUUGAGGAAUGUAGCUCCCUCGGGAGUGUUAUAGCCUCUUGUGAUGCAGCGAGCGCCGGGCGAGGUCCGCGCUUCGGCUAGGAUGCUGGCGUAAUGGUCGUAAUCCGCCCGUCUUGAAACACGGACCAAGGAGUCUAACAUCUAUGCGAGUGUUCGGGUGUCAAACCCCUACGCGUAAUGAAAGUGAACGGAGGUGAGAACCGCAAGGUGCAUCAUCGACCGAUCCUGAUGUCUUCGGAUGGAUUUGAGUAAGAGCAUAGCUGUUGGGACCCGAAAGAUGGUGAACUAUGCCUGAAUAGGGUGAAGCCAGAGGAAACUCUGGUGGAGGCUCGCAGCGGUUCUGACGUGCAAAUCGAUCGUCAAAUUUGGGUAUAGGGGCGAAAGACUAAUCGAACCAUCUAGUAGCUGGUUCCUGCCG